AGAGAGAGACAUGCGCGCAUAUCAAUAAGCGGAGGAAAAGAAACUAACAAGGAUUCCCCUAGUAACGGCGAGUGAAGCGGGAAGAGCUCAAAUUUGAAAUCUUCAAGGGUUUACCUUGACGAAUUGUAGUUUAAAGAAGUGUUUUCUGUUAGAGAGGUAGGUAAAAGUUCUUUGGAAUAGGACAUCAUAGAGGGUGAGAAUCCCGUAUUUGACUAUUCUUUCUAACGUUGUGAUACACUUUCAAAGAGUCGGAUUGUUUGGGAAUGCAGUCCAAAAUGGGUGGUAAAUUUCAUCUAAAGCUAAAUAUUGGCGAGAGACCGAUAGCGAACAAGUACCGUGAGGGAAAGAUGAAAAGAACUUUGAAAAGAGAGUUAAACAGUACGUGAAAUUGUCAAAAGGGAAGCGUUUGACACCAGUGUUGUUUUUCCGAAAAUCAAUUAUGAAUGGCUUGAUUUUAAGUUUCAUGACCUUAAAAGCUUGUUGCUUAUUUUUCAUGUCUUUCGUAAUGCACUUUUCGGUUAACAAGUCAACAUCAAUUUCUUUUGUUGUAAAAGGUUAAGAGGAAGGUGGCUUUACUUUCGGGUAAAGUGUUUAUAGCCCUUUUAACUCUGCAAUCGGAGAGAUUGAGGUCUGCAGCGUAGAUCCUUCGGGGUCAGAUACAUUUGUGCUAAGUUAUAGCUUUUCAUAGACAACUUGUUGACUAUGAUUAAGUCUUGUAAUUUACUCGCAGAUGCUAUUUUACCUACGCUUAGGAUGUUGACAGCAGUAUAGACUGU
Molecule: ribosomal RNA, 776 nt
Filed under: uncultured Neocallimastigales
Lineage: Eukaryota; Fungi; Neocallimastigomycota; Neocallimastigomycetes; Neocallimastigales
Description: partial large subunit ribosomal RNA
Rfam family: Eukaryotic large subunit ribosomal RNA
Source: RNAcentral